Magnolia sinica is the source of this 2216-nucleotide long non-coding RNA. RefSeq lists it as uncharacterized. Lineage: Eukaryota; Viridiplantae; Streptophyta; Magnoliopsida; Magnoliales; Magnoliaceae. The record is from RefSeq and is a predicted model, not a curated record. The transcript is spliced from 3 exons.
UUAACCAAUAAAUCCCCUGUUGCAUUAGCCUCUGAUACAUUUAUCAGAUCAACCAAUGGAUUUCCUAUGUGGGGCCCAAGUGGUCACAAUGACUGUUGGAUUGGAUGGCUCCACCAUCGAUCAUGAAUGGCCCAAGAUGUACCCUUACUGGAUGAUUAUGUCCAUUUGAAUAUAGGACUGUAAAAUGGAAAUAAUGAGCAUUUUUCAGGACUUAAAUGGCCUGUGAUCAUUGGUGAGCCCUUGGGUCCCAUGUAGGGAUUUGCAUCCUGAUAAUAAGGCAAGAAGAAUUCUCAUUGCUCCUGUUUCUAUUAUUUCUAGAUUUUCUUUCUUUCUUGAUUUUUGUAGGCAUUUUUUUUUUUUUGGUUUUCUAAUAAGGUUGCUUUCUUUUAUGCACAACUCCAAUAAUAACUUUGUGCUCGAGCUGGACUUUUUACCCUUCACUGAUUCUCUUUUCCUUAGCCUACUCUGUUAAAAUCCAUUGGCAAUGGUGUAGAGUUCCUAAAUCAGCACAUUUCUUUGAAAAUGUUUCAUGACAGGGAGAGCUUGUGUUGUUUGUGUUGUUUUCUAUGACAUAUAUACAAGGAAUAGAUUAUAAAUUGGCAAAAUGGGAGCCUUCAUAUCAAGAUUGACACUCUCUUUAUUCAUUUGCUAGCCUUUUUAUUAUGCUUUCAUUUUUUAUUUUUAUUUUUUGUCUUAACUCUCUCUUAGUAUUGGAAAAAAAUGCGUAGGAGUUGUUUGUUAAAACCUUAAAGAAAUGUGAUUUGGUGGAGAAUGGUAUGCUUUUAGUUUGGUUCUACUCUCUCUCUCUCUCUAACUUCUUGAAAUGCAGAAAAAGCAAUGGAUGAUGAUCUGUCUUGGUUGAAUGGUUUGAGCCAUGAAACCAAUGAAUGAUGUUCAGGAACCCAUAAAUAGUUGGUUAUGGACAUUGAUUCUGUUUUUUCCUCUGUAUUGGGCAGGAAUACUUGCUAAUGUUUCAGAGGCUUGCAAGCAAGAUCUUGACUUUAUGUGUCCCAACCAUUGCAGUAAUUCGAUGAAUUUCUAUAUAGGAGAUAAAUUACAAUUGUUAUUUCUAGCUGACUCCAAUUCUAACAUGUUUCCAAGUUUAAAUGAUUGCAUUUAUUUCAUAAUCUUGGAAUUAGUUUCUAAUACAAGGUGACUGUCCAAAUAGAGGACAUGCAGUUGGCGCGGGCUGCAUUUUUGCAUUGGCACAUGACUAUCGGCUCAUGGCCUCUAACUAUGGUUAUAUUUUCAUGAAUGAGGUUGAUUUUGGGUUGCCAUUGACACUGGGGAAUGUGACUGUUCUCCAACUCAAGCUAAAGUGAGGAAGACAUUUUAUACAAAUGUUCCUGAUGAAUAUAUGCAAGCUGUUGAAGAUAUGGUUGUCCCAAGGACUGAAUUUGGUAAUGCAUCAGAGAAAGAGCAAUACCAUGUGAAGGUGUUUGACAAACAUGGAGUGACUCUUUCAUGCAAAUGUUCUACAAUAGAAGAUGGUGGAAAACUUAAGCUUCGUAAGGCAAGUAUUACGCCUUCCUCUAGUUAAUAUUCAUAACUAGAUGCUACUAGUAAAAUGCAUGUGCGUUGCAUUUAGGAAAUAAUUCAAAGUAUGCAAAAGAACAAUAAAAUCACGGAUCGCUCCAUGAUUUAUAUGAUCAAGGUUAAUCUGUGUAUGUUGAUUGCUCUCUGGGGACCAAAAUGUGUCCAGAAAUGGAUCCAUCCACACAUGAGUGAACCAUUGUUCUGUCCAUUGGAAUGUUUACAUGUCAAAAAUCUAGCUCAUUCAUCAGGUAGUGUACACUUUGCACAUGCCCUGGGCCAAAAACUGAUGUUGGUCUGCUAAUCAAGGAAAAUUAUGCUUCUAUGAGAAAAAUCCUAGUACACUGCACAUAUACUCAGGCCAAAGAUCAUGUUGCUCCUUUGUGAUAAAUGGGUUGGGAAUCUUAGAAUCGGAUUUUUGUGAAGGUUUUACCAUUACAACUGAAAUGCAGGUAAGAUUCUCACAUGCUUGUGUAAUUAGUGAAUGUAGGGGUGUCUGCAAUUAGCAUGAAACAGAAUUUCUAGACGAAACAGAUCUUUUCCAUAAAGAGUAAUCAUAUACAAAAUUUUGGAUUCUUAGGUUGUUAUUUAGUCUGGUACAUGUUACAGGUUGAACUAAUCACAAAGCAGCAUUUCAUCGCAGAUACAUUAUGCCUCAAUAAGGAUUUCCACCUGAAGCUGAC